Molecule: long non-coding RNA, 739 nt
Organism: Anneissia japonica
Lineage: Eukaryota; Metazoa; Echinodermata; Crinoidea; Comatulida; Comatulidae
Exons: 2
Source: RefSeq, a predicted model, not a curated record
CCCUUCCUUGGCCUUGCCUAGGCAUAGCCUAGUUAGGCCCCCCCCCCCCCGUGGGCCCAGUAGGCCUAGUUAGCUAGAAACAAAACCGAUAGGGUGCGCUGUUUUUCGGAGUUCCAAACAUCGCGAUAGAAAAUAGUGCCCCGACGGAUGAUAGGAUACCCAAUGUAUUAAUUGGGUAUUUCGCGGAUAUAUAUCACAAUUUGGCCGAAAUAGUUCCGGAUAACUCUCCAGAAAUAAAUUCAAGUGCGCGAAUCGACUCGGUAAAAGUUUUUUUUUUUACAACAAUGUUUAGACGCUUUUCAAGAAUAGAAGAAAUCCUUCGCUAGUUUUUUUGUUAACGGUUUUUUUUUUUCUUCAGUUUUUAAACUAUAAAGUUCAAUCGUGACGUUUGUUAGACUGUAUAUUGUUACGUUGUUAGACGGCGUAUCAUAUGUACCGUACUGUUGGUUGGAAAUGGUAUCUUUUGUACCGUUAUGUUGGAAGAAAUAAAGUUAAACAGCAACGCAUUGAAAACAUCGGUGUUUUAUUGGGGUCGAAAUAGACGAAACAUCAUUGAAAAGAUUUCGGAAGAAGAUACUGAGAUCUGACCGAAAUCACUGGAGAAUCUGGAAAAAAAGAAAAAUGAAAAUGAUGAGCAACGCUUUCCAAAACAAACGGUUCUUUUCAGAACCUCUAAAUAUCCCAAAAGAGAUUUGAUCAAUGAUUGCUGCCUUGUGUAAUUAAAAAAAAAAAAAAAAAA